CGCCGAGUUCCUUAUCUCCAGUAUCGGAUCCCGCGAUUUUCCUGAGCGCUCUCCCGCCCCGAACGCCGCGCUGCGGCGGAGGGAGGCGGCGGGGCUCCGUGCACCAUCCCGACCCGCUCCAGGAAACCAGCUUGAGGUGCGUGAGGGCCUCCAAACCCACUGCAGCCCGGAGGGAGCGAGGGCGGCGUUGGAAGUCCUGGCGGCUCCGGUGUCUGGGGCCGGCGCCCUAGAGGACGCCCGGAGGUUUCUGAACCUGUUGCCUUCUCAGCUUCUCUGUUUUAACUUUGUUUUCCCCAUGUGCUGAGGGCACAUUUUGGGUCUCCGAGGUGGUCCCUUAACCUUUCAACUUCUUGCAACUUGUCUUUGGAGCUUUACCGAUAACUACGGAGCCGCGGUGUCAUUUCCGAGCAUGAUGUAAAUAAUGGAUGGCGGUUCAGCAGCGUCCACCUUCUUGACUGACAGCUUAGAGCUGGAGCUGGGGACAGAGUGGUGCAAACCCCCCUGCUUUUCUUGCGCUUUUGACAGCAGAGACGGAAAAUUUUCUGGAGAGUCCUACCUUGCCAGUGGCGCCCUUAAGCGGUUAAUUUUAAAUCUUGAUCCAUUACCAACUAACUUUGAAGAGGAUACAGUAGAACUAUUUGGCAUCCAAUGGGUUACUGAAACAGCACUAGUACAUUCAUGUCGAGAACUCUUUCAUUUAUUCAGGCAACAGAUAUUUAACUUGGAGUCUUUGUUACAAGUCAACUGCGAUUUUGGGAAGAUAGCCGCCUUGCACGCCAAAGCAGACAGCAUUAGGCAGCAAUGUGUAGUAUUUCUUCACUACCUUAAAGUCUUCAUCUUCAGGUGGCUGAAAGUACAAGAAGCAGAGAGCCACAGUCUCCUUGUCCAUCCCUAUGAGGUUUUGGAAGCUCAGCUUCCCUCGAUGUUGGUUGAUGAGCUUCAUGGAUUACUUCUAUAUAUUGGACAUCUAGCUGAACUUCCCAGUGUUACUCUAGGAGCAUUUGUAAAUCAAAACCAGAUUAAGGUUUGAUUAGUUUCAUUUUUAAAUUAUCCAACUUUUUUUUCUCCCCCAAGAAAAAGUAUUAUUCAAGAAUAAGAAUUGGUUGUUAUUUAUUGCUUGUUAAUUAUGUCUUCUUAUUAUAUAUAAAUGUGCCUUACUUCAGUCUCUCCAUUUACACAGCUUCUUUAACUGAGAUAUGGAAAGAAAUAAAUGACUGGUGUGCCUCGAGUGUGUAAAACACUACCCUGUAUCUGUAUUGUAUGGAGCUGUUCUCCAUUCAACAGUGUAAAUGCUUAGAAGUUUCAAAUAAAAAUUAAUGUGUUUGAAA
This 1328-nucleotide long non-coding RNA is filed under the name Rattus norvegicus (Norway rat). Its description in RNAcentral is "long non-coding RNA NONRATT022152". The record is from RNAcentral. Lineage: Eukaryota; Metazoa; Chordata; Mammalia; Rodentia; Muridae.